AGCAUACACAUCAGCGAGUAAGGAGCAAUGGGGAUCAUUGUAAGUGGGACCACCAGGAUAUUCUUGGACUUUUAACUUCCUGCAUUGCAACAUUGGGUUAUGUAAAAGAGUACUGUCCAGUGGGAGUGGUAUUAGCAAGACAACAGAACAGGAAGUCUUGAACCCUCCUUUACUCUGACUAACUCAUGUUUUCAACAGUAAUUCAUGGACAUUUUCUCUUUGUGAGAAAUUCAGAAACUCAUUAAGAAGUUACUGCACUCCUGCAGAAGAUGAAAUAAGUCACACUGAAGCUAGUAGGACAAUGUGAAAUACCUUUUCCCAGCUUCUCUCUGGGCAUAAAAAGAGGUACACCAUGUAUCCUACAUCCCAACAUUUUCAGAGGCUAACAGAGGACUGAAUUUUUCCAUCCUAUUUUGAAGAGAAUACAGAAUAUGGAACAUGGUAUACUCUAGCCACCUGGAACUGGUGAAAACAGAAGCAAUGGUUCAGGCUGAGGGUCAACACCCCCACACCCGCUGGCUCAGCACAGAAAUAGCAGUGGUAAAACCCUAACUCCCAGAUUUUUCCUGAGAAGGAAAAGUGGUGGCGCACUAAAGGUCCAAUGUCCCAACUUUUCAGAGAGCUACCCAAAAGAUUAGCAUCUGUCUACUCUGUCUCAGAGCUCUGAUCAAACUGGGACACAGCAUUUUCGCCACCUAAGGCCUCCCUGUGAGAUCAGAGAUAGACAUUUGGCCUGGUGGUCCCCAUAGCCACUCCCUGGCUCAGCAACAAGCAAGUGGAUGAAAAGCCUCAACUCCCAGGUUCAUUUUGAAGCGAAGAAGGGAAAAGAGAUGCAUUGAGUGUUCAAUAUCCUAACUUUUCCAAGGGUUACCCAGAAGACUGGUUUCAGUCUAGCCUGUCACCAUAGUCAGUGACACUAGCUCAGGAUAGCACAGACAGAGGAAAAAUCUAAGAUCCCAACUUCUAUCUAGAAAAUGAAUGAAGUACAUUGUGCACCUUACAACCCAACUUGAAGGAGGGGUUGCCUGAUAAAUUGGCUCUGUGAGUACUGACAGGUUUCAUCAUACUCUAGACACCACAGACUACUAAAAAUAAAAAAAAAAGUGGAUUGGAACAGCAUGAAUAUUUGAGGGGCCUCCAGAAUCUCUGGCCCAGGCUGAUUUGUGAGGGUCUUGUUCAGUACGGGGCUAGUCUGCAAAGACUAGGAGAAGCGGCUGUUGUCUCUAAUAUGCAGAUAUGAACACAGAGAAUCAGGAAAAAUAGAGAAGGAGAAAAAUACCUUUCAAACAAAGCAACAAGAUAAAUCUCCAUAAACUGACUAAUAAAAUGGAGGUGUGUUAUUUACCUGACAGAAAAUUCAAAUAACUGUCAUAAAGAUGCUCACCAAGGUCAAAAGAACAAUGCGUGAACAAAAUGAGAAUUUCAACAAAAAGAAGUUUUGUAAAGUACCAGACAGAAUUAAUGGAGCUGAAGAAUACAAUAACUGAGAUAAAAAAUUUAUUAGAGGCAUUAAACAGUUGACUAGAUCCAACAGAGGAAAGGAUCAAGAAACUCAAAGACAAGUCAUUGAAAAUUAAUCAGCCAGAGGAACAAAAAGAAAAAAGGAAUGUAAAAGAGUAAAGAAAACCUAAGGAACUAAUGGAACGCCAUCAAGCUUUUAAAUAUAAACAUUACGGAAGUCCCAGAAUAAAAACAGAUAAACAAAAGACUAAAAGAGUUAUUUAAAUAAAUAAUAAUAACUGAGAAUUUCCCAAAUGUGGGAAAGAAAAUAGACAUCCUGAUUCAAGAAGCCCAAAGUUCCUCAAAAAUAUUUCUUAUAAUGGAAAGAUAUAAAUUUUCUCAGAGAAAUAAAAGCUGAGGGAAUACAUCUCCACUAGAUCACACUGUAAAAAUGCUAAAGAGAGUUGUUAAAGGUAAAAAAAGGAAGCUAAGCAGCACUACAAUAGCUUAAGAAAGACUAAAAUAACAUAUAGACAUAUAUAGAACCCUGUAUCACUGUCAAAGUGGUUAGUAAAUCAUUCGAAUUCUUAUAUAAAAUUUAAAAGACAAAUGUAUUAAAAAUCUAUAAUAACAAUGUUAAUGAGUACACAAUACAAAUAGACAUAAAUUGUGACAUCAAUAACAUAAUAUGUGUAUGUGGCUGGGAAGAAGCAAAAGCACACUUUUUUAGUAUGUUAUUGAACUUAUCAGCUUAAAAUAGAUGGUUAUAUAUUACAUAAGGCCCAUGUUAAACAUGAAUAAAACUACAAAUGUCACACACACACACACAAACACAAAGAGAAAGGUAUCAAAGCAUAACAAUAUAAAAUAUCUAUGACACACAAAGGAAAACAAGAGAAAAAAAUGACAAAAGCCGCUAAGACAAAGAGAAAAAAACACAAUGGCAAUAGUGAAUCAUUCCCUAUUAAUAUUUACUUCAAAUGUAAACACAUUAAAAUUCCUAAUCAAAGGACGUGGAGUGGUUAAACAAAAGCAAGAUUCAGCUGUUUGCUGUAUUAAGAUAUUCACUUUAGAUUUAAAGACACAUAUAACCUGUAAGUGAAGGGAUGGAAAAAGUUAUUCCAUGCAAAAGUGAGCAAGAGUAGGUAUAUUUAUAUUAGACAAAAUAAACUUUUAGCAACAACCUGUUACAAAAGAUAAAGAAGGACAUUAAAAUAAUCAAUAAAUAAUCAAUGGGAACAUAUAAAAAUUAUAUGCAUCCAACAUCAGAAAAUUUAAGUAUAUAAAGCAAAUAUUGACAGAAUUGAAGGGAGAGAAAGCAAAACAACAGUAGGUUAUUCAACUCUCCGCUUUAACAAAUGGACAGGUCAGUCAUACAGAAAAUCAAUAAACAGUGGAUUUGAGCAAUGCUAAGACUAUAUGAACCAGAGAUAUUUAAAGAACAUGCAACACAACAGCAGCAGAAUAUAUAUUCUUCUCAAGUAGGCUCAGAACAUUCUCUGGGAUAGACCAGAUGUUAGAUCAAAACACAAGUUUUAAAAAUUUUAUGAAGAUUGAAGUCAUGCCGAGUACCUUAUUCAACCACAGUAUAAUGAAACCAGAAACAAGAGAAGAAAAACUUCUGAAGGAUACACAAAAAUGUGAAAAUUAAACAAAAUAGUUUUGAAAAAUUACUAAGUCAAAGAAGGAAUCACAAAGAAAAUAAGAAAAUAUAUUUAAACAAAUGAAAAUAAAAAUAUAACAUAGCAAAACUUAUUGGAUACAUCAAAAGUAGUACUACAAGAGAAGCUUGUAAUAACAGAUGCCUAUACUAAAAGAAAAAGAUCUCAAAUAAACAACCUAACAUUACACCUCAAGGAACUAGAAAAAGAAGAACAAACCAAGACCAAUGUUUGAGGAAGAAAGGAAAUAACAAAGAUUAGAAGAGAAGUAAAUGAAGCAGAGAAUAGAAAAACAAUAGAAAACAAAACCAAGAGUUGGUAAUUUGAGAUCAACGAAAUUGUCAAACCUUUAGCUAGACUAAGAAAAAAUACUAAAAUAAAUAUAAUCAUAAAUGAAAGAUGAGACAUUACAACUGUUAUGAGAAAAAUAAAGGUUCAUAAAAGCUUACUGUAAACAAUUCUAUACCAACAAACUGUAUAACCUAGAAAAAGUGAAGUGGCAGUAUACAAAAUCAACAUACAAUAAUUAGUUGCAUUUGUAUACACAAACAACAUACUAUCAAAAAAAGAAUUUAACAAAAUACUUCCAUUUACAAUACUAUCAAAAAGAAUAAAGUACUUAGGAAUAUCUUAAGUAAGGAAGAAAAAGACUUGUACAUGAAAACUACCAAAUAUUGAAGAAAGAAAUUUAAAAAGACACAGAAAAAUAUAUAACUGGUAUUCAUUUAUUAGAAGACUUAGCAUUGUUGAAAUGUUCAAACCAUGCAAAGUAAUCUACAGAUUCAAUGUUAUUCCUAUCAAAAUCCAAAUUCCCAGUGGCAUUUUUUCCAUAAGUAUAAAAAGACAAUUCUAAAAUUUAUAUGUAACACAAAAGAGUCCCCAAAGCCAAUACAAUUAUAAUAAACAAAAACAAGAAUGGAAGUAUUAUGGUUCCUAAUUUUAAAUUAUUUUACAAAGCUAUAGUAAUCAAAAUAGUUGAGUAUUAGCAUAGAUACGGACAUAUGAACCAAUGGAACAGAAUAGAGAGCCCAGAAGUAAAUCCAUACACACACGGUUCAUUGAUCUUCAGUAAGGUUCUACAAACACACAAUCAGGAAAUGGUAGUCUUUUCAACAAAUGGUGUUGAGAACACUAGAUAUUUACAUGCACAAUAAUGAAUUAGGACUCGUAUACUAUACCAUAUAAAAAAUCAACUCAAAAUAGAUGAAAAGCUUAAACGUUAAAACCUCAAACUGUCCAACUUAUAGAAGAAAAUAUGGAAAAACAUAUUUAUGAUAUUUUUCUUAGCAUUGAAUUCAUGAAUAUGAAACCAAAGCAUAGGCUACAAAAAUAAAAAUAGACAAGUGGGAAUAAAUAGGACUAAACAGCUUCUGCACAGCCAAGGAAACAAUCAACAAACCAAAAAGGCAAGCUACAGAAUGGGAGAAAAUAUUUGCAAACAUUAUAUUAGAUAGAGGUUAAUUGACAAAGUAUUUAAGAAACCCCUAUGACUCAAUAGCAAGAAAAUCCCAAACAAGCAAAACACACACACACACACACACAAAACUCCUAAAACCCAAAGUUAAAAAUGGGCCAAAAAUUUGAAUAAACAUUUCUCCAAAGAUGGACAAAUGGUCAAUAAGAAUAUGAAAAUACAGGCCACAUAGUUAAUCAUAUCCAAAUGCAAACCAAAACUACAAUGAGACAUCACCUCACAGUGGUUAGUAUGAGUAUUAUAAAAACAAAACAAAACAAAAACAAAGAAUACAAAACACAACAAAAACAAGAAGAAACAACAUAGUAAAGAUGUAAAAAAAUUGAAACUCUUGUAUGUGGGUGAUAGGAAUGUAAAAGUGUUCAGCCACUUAAAAAACAGUAUGGAGGUUCUUCAAAAAAUUAAAAAUAGAAUGACCAUAUGAUCCAGCAAAUACACUUCUCAAUAUUUAUCCUAAAGUAUUGAAAUAAGUAUCUCAAAGAAAUAUUAGCAACCCAAAAUUCAUUACAGCAAAGCUCACAAUUGCCAAAACGGAGAACAGACCAUGUGUCCAUUAACUGAUGAACAGACAAGAGAAAUGGUGUAUUCAUACAAUGGCAUAUUAUUCCACCUUUUAAAAAAGGAAAUUUUGUCAUUUACUAUGACAUUGAUGAACCUUGAAGAUUAUUCUAAGCCAAACAAGCCAGUCACUCAGAAGAGCAAAUACUGCAUGAUUCCACUUAGAUGAAGUAUCUAUAAUAGUCAAAGUCAUAGAAUCAGAGAUUAAAAUUGUUAUCAGGAGCUGUGGGAGAAGAGCAUGGCAAUGGAAAAUUACUAAUCAAAGGCAUAAAGUUUUAAUUAGGGAAGAUUAGUAAGUUCUAGAGAUCUGCUGUGCAAUACUUUUCUAAGGUAAACAGUAUUUUAUUGUACACUUAAAAAUUUGCUAAUAGGGCUGGGCGCAGGGGUUCACUCCUGUAAUCCUAACACUUUGGGAGGCUGAAGUGGGCGGAUCACCUGAGGUCACGAGUUUGAGACCAGCCUGGUGAAACCCUGUCUCUACUAAAAAUACAAAAAUUAGCUGGGUGUGGUGGCACACACCUGUAGUCCCAGCUAGUUAAGAGGCUGAGGCAGGAGAAUCACUUGAACCUGGGAGGCAAAGGUUGUAAUGAGCUGAGAUGGUGCCACUGGCUCCAGCCUGGGCAACAGAGCGAGACUCCAUCUCAAAAAAAAAAAGAAAAAAAAUGUGCUAAUAGGUUAGAUUUCAUGUUAAGUCUUCUUAGCACAACAAAUAAAAUAAGGUAUACUUUCCAAAGGUCUAAGGAAUUUUGUAGAAAACGUAUUGUUAUUUACAGUUAAUUUAAUCAAUUUUGAGCAGAUAACAAACUGUAAGUUGACAAUUUCUAAAGUUGGUUGAAACAUUUUCAGGAAUUCAUGAAAAGGAUGUGUAUUAGCUAUUUUUCUCUAAAUGUCAACUAGGUCAAGUUGACAUCUAAUUUGACAUCUAAUUCUUCUAUAUUCUGAAAGUAUUUUUGUCUAUUUCUAUAAUUUGCUGAGGGAGUUUUUUUUUUAUUUCUACCAUUAAUCUGUCAGAUUUUGAUGCUCUGAUUUUAAGUGCAUACAUAUUUGUGAUUCUUAUGUCUUCUUGAUUAAUAAGUACUAUUAUUGACAUGUGAUAUUGGUGGCAGCAGAGGGCUACCUGGUGCGGCUGCUGUCAACACACCAGCUGCUGAAGGGCGCCAGGAGGAGGCAGACAGCCCAUCCCCCGCAUCCCGCCACCCUGACGCCAGGGCGAUGGUCCGUGGCAGAAUCUCCCACCGCUGGGGGAGCGGCUCAGAGGGGCAGCAGCCAGGUUGGUGGGGCAGGGAGUGUCUUCAGUACAGAGCUUAGGCCGCACUGUUGGGGCCUGGGGUAGGAAGUGGGAGUGGUGCCGGCUUCAGGGACCCGGCCGCUGCCCCGCUGCCCCGACCAAGGGUGCCAGAUUCCUGGGCUUCAGGAGGAGUCUCUGUGCAGGGCCGCCUGGGGCCGUGUCCCCAGGGUCUGUCUGGCGUCAGGGUGACUGCUGAGCCUUCUACUCCCGAUGGCUCGGCCCGGGGAGUGAUCCACUCUGCCCCGGGUCACCGCUGAGUGCCAGGGAAACGGGCUGCUCAUGGCAAUAUUGCCCCUGCCCUGGACGCCAGCCGGGGCCCAGCAAGGAUCAGGAGCCCCUGCCCCAGGCUGCGAGGGGGCGCAGCUGAGGCUGCAUGCUCCAGGGAGCAAACAGGCAGGAGUGCUGCCCUUCUGGGUGCCACUGCAGCCACCGAAACCACGGCUGCAAAACUGUGCCUCCUUCUCUACAGAGCAGUCAGGAACUCCCCCACCCCACCAUACAGCUGCAGCUGCCCAAACCUGCAGCUGCAGCCUCAGGCAUUCCUGCAGUCUUGGGGGCCCGGGAAGGCCCUCCCUGCCCUUGCAGACUAGGAAUUGCCUGCUCCCACUGCCUGGCUUCUCCCUGCUGUUCGCUCCUGCUCUGAUAUAGGAGCAAAGUUGGGGCCAAGCCUAGGUGCCAUGAAUGGCAGCAGGAGGCAAAGUUUCCUGGGUGGAAGAGAGCAGGUCCCCAGUAAGGCCCCCGCUUCAGGCCAGGAAGGACCUGAAGGCUUGGGGCCAGGCUGCCAGGCCCGUGGACCAGAGGAGGGACUUGUGGUGCCGUUUUCAGGCCUGCCCAUUGCUGCCCAUAGACCAACUGGCACGCACUUCCUGCCCUCUGAUGUCCAUAAAAAUCCCCAGGCUCAGCCAGAGCAGGGCAGAGGACAGAGAGACGAUGGAAUGACCAGCUGCCAAAAGGAGCUACCUUUUCUGCUGAGACUUGGGAAGACAACCGGACGACCAGCUGCAGAAAGGGUCCACCAACCACAGGGCCUCUCUGUUGACAGCUGAACACUCCAGAAGACAACCUGCCUACGGAGGAGGAGCUACCAACUGCAGGUCUCCUCUGAGCUAUUGCAAAGCUUAAUAAAGCUCCCCUUCGUCUUGCUCACCCUCCACAUCUCUGUAUACCUCAUUCCUGCUGGACGCAGGACAAGAACUUGGGCAAAGGCGCCACCAGCCACAGAGGUUUCCCACCAGAAAAAGCAACACCCCCCAAAUCCAGUAACAUAUAUACCUCUUGUAAAACUAUAAAUCUUUAAGUCUAAUUGUCUAUUAAGAUUAUAGCUCUUCUAGCUUUCUUAUGCUUAUUUUCUGCAUGGGUUUGAUAUAUUUUAUUACUUCACUUUCUAUGCUUACUUUUAUCAAAUUCAUGGAGGCAUAAUUUACUGAAUCAAUUUAUAGUACAAAAUUCCAACAGUUUUGACAUAUAUACUCAGCCACAAGACCACUACUACAAUCAAGAUAUAAAACAUUUCCAUCAUUCCAAAAAGGUUUUACUGGCCACUUUGCAAUCCAUCCAUCUCUCCUGUAUUCCCAGCUCCAGGCAACCUCUGAUUUGCUGAGGGUCACUGUAAGUUUGUUUGUAGUUUCUAGACUUGUAUGUAAAUAGAAACAUAUGACAUUUGUUUCCGGCUUCCUUUACUUAGCGUAUGGUUUCAAAAUGUACCCAUGUGUCAAUAAUGAUUUAUUUCCAUUAAUGAGCAAGCUCGGUGAAUACAUUUUGUCUGUUCACCUAGUGAUGGACACUUAUAUUGCAGCCAGUUUUUGAUGGUUGAGAAUAAAGCUUCUGUUGAGAUUUGUGUAUAAAUCAUAAUAUUAAAUAUGUUCAUGUCCCUUGAGUAAAUACAAAUAAAUCAAAUGUCUGGUUUAUAGGAACAAUGUUGUUUAAAUAUGUUUGAAACUACUAAACAGUUUUCCAAAGUAGUUUUAUGAUUCUACAUCCUCAGCAGUAGGAUAUGUAAAUUUAUUUUCCUCUACACCUUCAUAAAUUUUAGAACUAAGUUUUUCUGUAAUUUUAUGUUACUGUUAUUUUA
This 8492-nucleotide long non-coding RNA is filed under the name Homo sapiens (human). RNAcentral describes it as "HSALNT0319089". The record is from RNAcentral. Lineage: Eukaryota; Metazoa; Chordata; Mammalia; Primates; Hominidae.